CCAAGUAUCCUGGAAUAAAGAAUAUAGUGUCAUCUUAUUAGUGGUAUUAUGCAAUGUUUGGUAGAAAUACAAAUAGCAACAGAAUUACGUCUCAUGAUAAAUUAUAACUCUUUGAUUCAAUCUUCUUAAUUGGCCGGUAUCAGUGGUGCCUUGAUUAUUCACCUGUUGGCCUUUUUUCGGAACCGGCAGCUUUAGCUCAUUGUAAGUGUAUUGUAUAUUUGCUAGUGUGAGGUAAUGUAUAAAUUAAUAAACUAAAUUAAUAAAUAAACAGUAUUUA
Long non-coding RNA from Anneissia japonica, 277 nucleotides. RefSeq lists it as uncharacterized. The transcript is spliced from 2 exons. The record is from RefSeq and is a predicted model, not a curated record. NCBI's taxonomy places the organism in Eukaryota, Metazoa, Echinodermata, Crinoidea, Comatulida, Comatulidae.